RNAcentral lists this small RNA (117 nucleotides) under Halopseudomonas sabulinigri. Lineage: Bacteria; Pseudomonadati; Pseudomonadota; Gammaproteobacteria; Pseudomonadales; Pseudomonadaceae. The record is from RNAcentral.
CGCAUUUUAUUUUGGGUAUUGGUUUAGCCAUAGGCGCGCCUGAUACCCCACAGGCGCCCUGAAUCAAAGGGACGCCACCCGCAGUACGCAAACCCCGGUCGGCCUCCCGCCCGGGGU